AUGGAAAGACUUGUUUUCUUUUCAUACAUCCUGUCAGAAAAGGAAAAGAUUUUCACCUAAUUUUAUGAGGCUGCAGUACAUUAGUACUUCUUCUUUACAAUAAUAAAUCAAAAUGUUUUGUAUUUUCUAAAACUACAGUAUCUGUUGUGUGGUUCUUGUUUUUUUUGUUUGCUUUUAGCUGAUAUAAUAGUAGUACAAACUCAGCUUCUUUCUGCUGAUAUUAUUUUUGGCGGUGCUGUUUAGUCUUUCCUCAGAUAUCUAAUGUUUCUUUGUUAAAAAGUAGGUAGCUGAUAUCACAGAAUUUUGUGGGGUUGAUGAUUUGAACUAUUUGUGUAGUAAAAAUGAGUUCUUGAUUCAGCAUGGCUAUAUUGGAAUCAUACAGUAGUUUACGAGCUCGAUUCGAAAUUUAAUAUUUGUACAUAUUUAGUAAAAUUUUCCGCACCUGGUUGGAAGUAAAAGGAUGUGGUAGGAGUCUGAGAAUUUCACAGUUUCUUGAUUUUUGUGGCUGUGGAUUGAGCUACAUGCAAUUAUACGUGGAUAAAAAAUGGAGGGUUCAUCUCAGUCUGGUAGGGAGAGGUCUGAAAAUUCAAGGGGUUUGAAUAUUUCAAGUGUUGUGGAUAGGAAUUCAAGAUUUUGUUAUGAUUCUGGAUUUUCUGAUGUGAAUUGUCUUAAAGAUCAACAGGGCAGGAAAACAAUAGGUGGUAGUAGUAGUAGUAAAGAUGUUAGUUUGAGACAUUGGUUGGAUGAUCCAGAGAGAAGUGUUGAUGUUCUUGAAUGUUUGCACAUAUUUACUCAAAUUGUGGAGAUUGUAAACUUGGCACAUACUCAGGGGAUAGUUGUUCAUAAUGUGAGACCAUCAUGUUUUGUCAUGUCAUCUUUCAACCGUGUUGCUUUUAUUGAAUCUGCAUCCUGCUCCGAUUCGGGUUCCGAUUCGUGUGAAGAUGGGCUAAAUAGUUCAUCUUCACCUUUGCCUAUUGAAUCUGGCAUAGUAUCUGAUAGCAGUUGUUUGCAGUCAAGUUCAGGUCAUAUGGUGCAGACUUUGGAAGCUAAUAAGAAUAGACAUAUUGAAGAAAAGAAGCAUACUUUUCCAAUGAAACAGAUAUUGCACUUGGAAACUAAUUGGUACAAUAGUCCAGAAGAGGUUGAUGGAUCUCCAAGCACUUGUGCUUCAGACAUUUAUCGACUCGGAGUCCUUCUCUUUGAGCUAUUUUGUACCUUCAACUCAUCAGAUGAGAAAAUUGCAACUAUGUCAUGUUUAAGACAUCGUGUCCUACCCCCACAAUUGUUGUUGAAAUGGCCUAAAGAAGCUUCAUUUUGCUUAUGGUUAUUACAUCCGGAACCAAGUAGUCGGCCAAAAAUGGGCGAGUUGCUAGAAAGUGAAUUCCUCAGAACUCCAAGACAUGACUUAGAAGAACGUGAAGCAGCAAUAGAGCUUAGAGAAAAAAUAGAUGAGCAGGAAUUAUUGCUGGAGUUCCUUUUGCUAAUCCAACAGCGAAAGCAGGAGGCUGUGGAAAAUUUGCAAGAAAUUGUUUCUUUUGUAUCGUCUGAUAUAGAAGAGGCGUCUAAGAUGCAGACAACCCUUAAGAUAAAAGGAGGCUCAAGCUUAGAACCAGCUAAGCGCUUAAAUCCGCGGAGGACAGAUAUUACUGAAGAUGAUGAUUCCGGGAGCUCUGGAUCUAGAAAGAGAUUUAGGCUUGGCACAGGUGAGAAAUCCGAUGGUCAUCAAGAUGAAAGCCAGAAACCCGAAAGGCAAAUUGAAUAUAAAGGCAGCAUUUUAGCAAAAAGUUCCCGUUUGAUGAAGAACUUCAGAAAAUUGGAGACAGCUUAUUUCAUGACAAGACGCAGGAUUGCUAAAACAAUGGACAAAUCUACGAGUAGACGUUGUCAAACAAGUACGGAAUGUAGAAGUUCCGGUACAGCUACUGAAAGGAGUUCUCUGAGUAAUUUGUCAUCAAAAAGAUGGUACAAGGAGGAUGGACAGAGUGGAUUUAUCAAUUCGUACUUAGAGGGUCUGUGCAAGUAUUUUUCUUUUAGCAAGUUAGAAGUGAAGGCAGAUUUAAGGCAAGGGGAUCUUCUAAACUCUUCCAAUCUUGUAUGUUCUCUCGGUUUUGAUCGCGACGGUGAAUUUUUUGCAACUGCCGGUGUAAAUAAGAAGAUCAAAGUUUUUGAGUAUAACUCAAUUCUAAAUGUGGAUCGUGAUAUACACUAUCCAGUCGCUGAAAUGGCUAAUAGAUCAAAGUUAAGCAGUAUAUGUUGGAAUGGCUAUAUCAAGAGCCAGCUCGCCUCAAGUAACUUUGAAGGUGUGGUGCAGGUAUGGGAUGUCACAAGAAGUCAGCUUUUCAUGGAGAUGAGAGAGCACGAGAAACGCAUUUGGUCUGUAGACUUUUCCGUAGCAGAUCCAACCAUGUUGGCGAGUGGGAGCGAUGAUGGUUCUGUUAAGCUUUGGAAUAUCAAUCAGGCAAUUCUACUUUUGCACUUGGUGGAUGUCAGCUUUAAAACUAAAUGGAGUAAGUGUUGGAACCAUAAAAACAAAAGCUAACGUCUGCUGUGUUCAGUUCCCCGUUGAUUCUGGACGGGCCCUUGCUUUUGGUUCAGCAGAUCAUAAGAUAUAUUACUAUGAUCUGCGAAACUCAAAAUUGCCGCUAUGCACCUUAGUUGGGCACAACAAGACAGUGAGCUAUGUCAAGUUCAUAGAUUCAACAACUCUUGUGUCUGCAUCUACGGAUAAUACGAUAAAGCUGUGGGAUCUGUCAUCGUGCACGUCUCAUGUUCUUGAUUCUCCUCUUCAGUCUUAUACUGGUCAUAUGAAUGUAAAGAACUUCGUUGGCCUAUCUGUAGCUGAUGGUUACAUAGCAACUGGUUCAGAGACAAAUGAGGUUGUCAUCUACCACAAAGCUUUUCCUAUGCCAGCAUUAUCAUUUAAAUUUAAUAGCACAGAUCCGCUUUCUGGUGAUGAAGUGGACGACAGUGCACAGUUCAUCUCAUCCGUGUGUUGGCGUGGUCAGUCCUCUACCUUAGUUGCUGCAAAUUCUAUGGGAAAUAUCAAGCUCUUGGAGAUGGUCUAAUGUGGUUCAAGUCCCCAAAAUCUUGACCGUUGCUUUAAGAAGAGGAAAUGUGUGAACGAGAAGAGUUCGGCACAGGUAAAAUGAGGGGGUUACACCAAGAUACUGUUGUAGCUGAUAUAAGCUAGAUACAAUACUAUGGUAACAAGGAAGUUGCCAUCAAGAAACAAAUAAUUUUGCAAUUAGUUCAUGGUGGAAGCAACUCUCUGGAAAUAUGAGAUUUUGUCUCAUAGUGGAAAGUGUUGUAAAUAAAUAUUGGUUUUGGAGAGGAGUGAAGAGUUGCAAGUGUUAGUUCUGUUUGUAUAUUCUAUAAUUUUGAAGUUCUUAAGAAAUUCUCUGCAAUGUUAGAUGUUGGCCUGAUGACGUCUAAGCGCAUUCAUUUUCCAGCAUAUUCUGUUUAAGAUGUUUAUGCUGUUCAUGACCAGCCAAUUGGUUUGACAUAAAGCAUGCACAAAUUAUAACUUCUAAGUUAUUUGGAGCACAUCUUUCCAAUGGGACAUUGUUGGCUAGUGAGAUUUGAUAAUUCUAUUC
Molecule: RNA transcript, 3593 nt
Organism: Nicotiana attenuata
Lineage: Eukaryota; Viridiplantae; Streptophyta; Magnoliopsida; Solanales; Solanaceae
Gene name: protein SPA1-RELATED 4-like
Exons: 7
Source: RefSeq, a predicted model, not a curated record